RNAcentral lists this ribosomal RNA (2904 nucleotides) under Triticum aestivum (bread wheat). Its description in RNAcentral is "partial small subunit ribosomal RNA". Lineage: Eukaryota; Viridiplantae; Streptophyta; Magnoliopsida; Poales; Poaceae. The record is from RNAcentral.
AUGGAUCCCGCCGCCGCCGGCGCGGGCUCGUGGGACACGGAGCUCGCGUGGCACCUCCUCACCGUGCUCCUCCGCAUCGGCCGCCCCGCCGCCGCCGCCGAGCUCGCCGCCGUGGCGUCGACGUCGGCGGCGGGCGCCAUGACGCCGCAGCACGUCGAGCGGCUGUGCCACGCCCCGGGAUCGCCGCUCCGCUCCUCCGGCGGCACGGUGACUGUUUCGGGGACGGCCGUCGUGGCGUUUCUGAGGUUCCUGGGGUGGGAUGUGCCGGCGGUCCCGAGGGCGAGGCUGAGGCCCUCCGACUUGAGGAGCUGGUGCGCGGAGAUGCCGAUUAAGUAUGAGCGCAAGCGGAAGGCUCCCGACGCGGACCGCUUCGGCGUGAAGAGGCGCCUCCUGAUGGAGGCCGAUGCAGAUUUUGUAGAACUCGAGCAGCAGCUGCCGAUUGUGCCAAGUUGUUCCUCAGUUGCUGCUGGAGAGGUACACCUGGAGGUUAUGCAAGAUAGGCUUCCUCUAGUUUCCAACAUUGCUAAAAUUGGUACACCUUGUCUUCAACCUAAACUUAAUCAGUCUCUUGGAGUCAGCAAUGACAAUCUUCUUGGGAACAUGACAUCUACACUGACAUGGAAGGAGUUGUCCGUUCGUCCAUUUAGUGAUAUUCCUUCCCUCUGCGCUGAGAAAUCAGAGAACAUCCAUGCAGCAGUUAAUGAAAUUAGUAGGAUUGGUGAACUGGAAGGAGCACUUUCAUAUUACAAUUGCCGAGUAGAGGAUAGUGAGGAUCUGGAAAAGAAGUCUAGCCCCCUUCCUAUGAUAGUGGAGGUGCCUUUAGUUGGAGAUACAAAAAUUUGGCUUGAUGAGGAUCUAAAUCUUUUUCACACAAGACCAUGCAGUCCAUCUCUCAAUUGUGAUACACAGUUAGUAGACAGUAUAGUAAGAACCAGUGUGAUGCCUGACCAAGCAGCUGUACAAAAUGACAGCCCAAAUGCUGGACAGGGUGAGGAGAUCCCAUCUUGUGGUCAGGAUGCUAAUACUGGUGUUUUCCAGUCUGCUACAUGCACCAAAGCAGAACCUCUACUACAGGAACCGAUUCAUGAAAUGAACAAAAGCUCAUGUCAACCAUCUCUGGGCACAAAAGUUGACCCGGCGGCAUUGCCGCUAGAAGCGACGAGCCAUGAUUGUAUCAACAAUGGAAAGUUGAACGUUGUUGCUGAAAAUAUCGAUAGCACAUACCUAAAGGACAGAGAGCAGCUACAUAAGAAAGUGGGUACCAUUUUUCCGAAGAAGGAGCAAGACAGAAAGAUGGUGAAGCAACGGGAGAAGCGCAAGAAAAAUGAUGCCCUGCGCAAGGAAGAUAAGGAUCAACUUGCAGAAAAUGCUCAAAAGGGCCAUGCAGAGCCAAAACCACUGCCUAGCUUCAAGGAUUUUGUCGUGGAAGAGGAGGAAGGGUCAGGAGGUUAUGGGAUCGUUUAUAGGGCUCGGAGAAGCGCAGAUGGAAAAGUAUUUGCCAUAAAAUGUCCUCGUGAGAAAGCUCAUUCACAUCACGUUGACAAUGAACGAAAGAUGUUGGAACGAUUUGGAGGCAAGAGUUUUGUGAUUAGAUAUGAAGGUUCUUUUAGGAGUGGUGAACUAGACUGCUUUGUUCUAGAACACGUUAAGCAUGACAGACCAGAGAUUCUCAAAAGAGAAAUAAAUGUCUUUGAGUUGCAGUGGUAUGGGUAUUGUCUGUUCAAAGCUCUUUCAAGCUUGCAUAAACAGGGAAUAGUGCAUAGAGAUGUGAAACCUGGAAACUUCCUCUUCUCUCGUGACCAGACAAAGGGAUAUCUUGUUGACUUCAACUUAGCAAGUGAUCUUCACCAUAAGUUCUUGAAAAACAGUAAAUCUGAGACAAUGUCAUGUGGGAAGGAUACCGCAUCUCAAUCUUCGUUGAAAUCUGCUCUAGUGAUUCAUGCCAAAGAAGCAGCAGCCGACUCAAAACAACCUCUUGGGCCCAAGAGGAAAAGAUCAAAUAAAAUCCCUGUAGGCAGUGAUCCUAGGAUUGACAAUAAAAGUAGGCAUGGUAGCCAAGCUGCUGAUGGAUCUGGUGUAACCUCCGCCAAGGAUCCUACAAGCGCGAAAACACCAUUAGACAGGUUAAAGCAGCCAAUGCCUUACAGAGGGCGGAAGGAAUUAAUGAGCUUCUUGCAGGAGGCAAUGGACAGUCCCAAACAAAAUAUACCGGCAGCUCCAGUUUCCCAAAGGAAGAGGGUUGCUGCUCCUGUGGGUAGUGUCGAUCGGAAGUUAUUUGUACUUACUCCAAUGCCCCUGCGUUGUGAUGGUAAUGCUGUUGCCGGUUCUGGGACGAUUAACAGCAAAGGAAAUGGAAAGCAGCGAAGAGAAGGUCCAUGUGUUGGAACUAAAGGAUUCCGAGCUCCAGAGGUUCUUUUGAGAUCUUCUCAUCAGAGUUGCAAAGUUGAUGUCUGGUCGGCUGGGGUGACACUCCUGUACUUCAUAAUCGGCAAGGCACCUUUCGGCGGAGAUCCUGAACAGAACAUGAAAGAAAUAGCGAAGAUCAGAGGCAACGAAGAAUUAUGGGAAGUAGCAAAACUGCACAACUGCGAGUCCUCGUACCCACAGGAGCUAUUUGAUGUCAAAUUGCAGCAGUCGGUGGAUCUCAGGGAGUGGUGCGUCGCCAACGCCCGCAGGCCGGAGCUCCUCGAGCAGGUCCCUGACUCGCUGUUUGAUCUCGUGGACAAGUGCCUGGCGGUUAACCCCAGGUGCAGGAUCACGUCGGAGGAUGCUCUGUCGCAUGAGUUUUUGGCGCCGUGCCGUGAAAGCCUCAAGAAGAAUGCGCUUAGGAGUAGGUCAGCAUCAGCUUCUCACACUCCUCCAUGCUUGCCUCGAGAUGCCAUGGUUAACGCCAACGAGUUGUAG